GACGAACGCUGGCGGCGUGCUUAACACAUGCAAGUCGAACGGAAAGGCCCUGCUUGCAGGGUGCUCGAGUGGCGAACGGGUGAGUAACACGUGGGUGAUCUGCCCCUUACUUUGGGAUAAGCCUGGGAAACUGGGUCUAAUACUGGAUAGGACCAUGCUGUAGGUGAUGUGGUGGAAAGAUUAGUUUCGGUUAGGGAUGAGCUCGCGGCCUAUCAGCUUGUUGGUGGGGUAAUGGCCUACCAAGGCGUCGACGGGUAGCCGGCCUGAGAGGGUGGACGGCCACGUUGGGACUGCGACACGGGGCAGAAGCCUACGAGAGGCAGCAGUGGGGGAUAGUGCGCAAUGGGCGUAAGCCGGAUGCAGCGACGGCGCGUGGGGGAUGACGGCCUUCGGGUUGUAAAGAACAUUCAGCCAUGACGAAGCCCUUGUGGUGACGGUAGUGGUAGAAGAAGCACCGGCUAACUACGUG
RNAcentral lists this ribosomal RNA (469 nucleotides) under uncultured bacterium. Its description in RNAcentral is "partial 16S ribosomal RNA". It matches the Rfam family "Bacterial small subunit ribosomal RNA", at positions 28 to 507 of the family's 1533-position model. The record is from RNAcentral.